UGUGGGAGCGAGCUUGCUCGCGAUGGGGUCGCUAAAUUCAGCAUCCAUGGCGACUGAUCCACCGCUAUCGCGAGCAAGCUCGCUCCCACA
Molecule: unclassified non-coding RNA, 90 nt
Filed under: Pseudomonas jessenii
Lineage: Bacteria; Pseudomonadati; Pseudomonadota; Gammaproteobacteria; Pseudomonadales; Pseudomonadaceae
Source: RNAcentral